AAUAUAGAUUGUAGUGAUGAUAUUUUGAGUAGGAAUCUCAUUGAGCUUCAGUCAUGCGUUGCUUUGAAAUUAAAAUUGUCUCCCACUGAUCUUAAAAUU
Drosophila rhopaloa is the source of this 99-nucleotide small nucleolar RNA. RefSeq annotates it as small nucleolar RNA Me28S-Am2634. The transcript has a single exon. NCBI's taxonomy places the organism in Eukaryota, Metazoa, Arthropoda, Insecta, Diptera, Drosophilidae. The record is from RefSeq and is a predicted model, not a curated record.